GAGUAUUUUAGUAUAAGUAUAGGCAUUUUGAGAAGUGCCGCUAAAAUGUAAUUCUCCGAUUGACAGUGCCAUCUAUUAUGAAUAUGUUGAAACCACACCGGGCAAACAUUUGAAAAAGCCUAUAUUUAUUUAAUCAAAUACAAUCAUUGCACGUUCGAAACUUCUGAAUUCAAUUUAGAACACGACGUAAGUUGCAGAAACGUUCACCGUAGAUUUUUACAUUUUUAAUAAGUGAAUAUGUACUAUGGGUCUGUUAGUGUUUUAUUACAUUUAAACAAAUAUGAAAGUGUUUUAUUAUAUUGAAACAAAAGUUUUUUUUUGUUAGCUAUCUAGAUUACACUCACUUUUUUAUUUAAAGAUAAACACUCUCUUUUGUGGUUUACGCCCGUUUACUUUAAAAAACUUGGAUAGUUUUGGUUUUUUAUUCUUUAAAUUUUGUCGUCGCAAAAGUUGUUGUUCCAAAUUGAUAUUUAUUUUAUAAAGUAUUUAAGAUUAAUGUUAAAUUGGAAAAUGAAGGAUUUUAACCACAGGAAAUUCCAGAGCGACGGUUGGAGCACGCAAUCCAGCAUCGUAUUUAUUUUUUUUGAAAUAUGAGCAUAGAUGAUUAUCAUCCAGGCCGAAAUCUGCAAGGAGCGUAGUGAAUGUUACAUUGACAAACCAAUAAUGUUCAGUUGGGAAACAAAUGCUAGCAGGAGUUAUCAAUUUAAAACCUUCCCUUUGUAAUAUGUUCAGCAAUAAAAUCAUCAGGUGAUCAUCAUGUGGUUGUAGUCUAUGGCAA
Molecule: long non-coding RNA, 778 nt
Organism: Armigeres subalbatus
Lineage: Eukaryota; Metazoa; Arthropoda; Insecta; Diptera; Culicidae
Exons: 2
Source: RefSeq, a predicted model, not a curated record